GACGAACGCUGGCGGCGCGCCUAACACAUGCAAGUCGAACGAGCGAGCGAGAGCUUGCUUUCUCAAGCGAGUGGCGAACGGGUGAGUAACGCGUGAGGAACCUGCCUCAAAGAGGGGGACAACAGUUGGAAACGACUGCUAAUACCGCAUAAGCCCACAGGUCGGCAUCGACCAGAGGGAAAAGGAGCAAUCCGCUUUGAGAUGGCCUCGCGUCCGAUUAGCUAGUUGGUGAGGUAACGGCCCACCAAGGCAACGAUCGGUAGCCGGACUGAGAGGUUGAACGGCCACAUUGGGACUGAGACACGGCCCAGACUCCUACGGGAGGCAGCAGUGGGGAAUAUUGCACAGUGGGGGAAACCCUGAUGCAGCGACGCCGCGUGGAGGAAGAAGGUCUUCGGAUUGUAAACUCCUGUUGUUGAGGAAGAUAAUGACGGUACUCAACAAGGAAGUGACGGCUAACUACGUG
Molecule: ribosomal RNA, 466 nt
Filed under: uncultured bacterium
Lineage: Bacteria
Description: partial 16S ribosomal RNA
Rfam family: Bacterial small subunit ribosomal RNA
Source: RNAcentral